GGAGAGAUGGCCGAGAGGCUGAAGGCGCACGCUUGGAAAGCGUGUAUAGGCAACCCCUAUCUAGGGUUCGAAUCCCUAUCUCUCCG
RNAcentral lists this transfer RNA (86 nucleotides) under Fidelibacterota bacterium CG1_02_48_14. RNAcentral's name for it is "Candidatus Marinimicrobia bacterium CG1_02_48_14 tRNA-Ser". It matches the Rfam family "tRNA". From Rfam's summary of the family: Transfer RNA (tRNA) molecules are approximately 80 nucleotides in length. RNAcentral also lists the same sequence under 3 other names. Lineage: Bacteria; Pseudomonadati; Fidelibacterota. The record is from RNAcentral.